This 253-nucleotide ribosomal RNA is filed under the name Drancourtella massiliensis. RNAcentral describes it as "partial 16S ribosomal RNA". It matches the Rfam family "Bacterial small subunit ribosomal RNA", at positions 524 to 776 of the family's 1533-position model. The record is from RNAcentral. Lineage: Bacteria; Bacillati; Bacillota; Clostridia; Eubacteriales; Oscillospiraceae.
UACGUAUGGUGCAAGCGUUAUCCGGAUUUACUGGGUGUAAAGGGAGCGUAGACGGAUAGGCAAGUCUGGAGUGAAAACCCAGGGCUCAACCCUGGGACUGCUUUGGAAACUGCAGGUCUGGAGUGCCGGAGAGGUAAGCGGAAUUCCUAGUGUAGCGGUGAAAUGCGUAGAUAUUAGGAGGAACACCAGUGGCGAAGGCGGCUUACUGGACGGUGACUGACGUUGAGGCUCGAAAGCGUGGGGAGCAAACAGG